GAUGAACGCUGGCGGCGUGCCUAAUACAUGCAAGUCGAGCGAACAGACGAGGAGCUUGCUCCUCUGACGUUAGCGGCGGACGGGUGAGUAACACGUGGAUCACCUACCUAUAAGACUGGGAUAACUUCGGGAAACCGGAGCUAAUACCGGAUAAUAUAUUGAACCGCAUGGUUCAAUAGUGAAAGACGGUUUUGCUGUCACUUCUAGAUGGAUCCGCGCCGCAUUAGCUGGUUGGUAAGGUCACGGCGUACCACGGCAACGAUGCGUAGCCGACCUGAGAGGGUGAGCGGCCACACUGGGAGUGAGACACGGUCCAGACUCCUACGGGAGGCAGCAGUAGGGAAUCGGCCGCAAGGGGCGGAGACUAGACGGAGCAACGCCGCGGGAGUGAUGAGGAUCUUCGGAUCGGAAAACUCUGUUAUCAGGGAAGAACAAAUUUGUAAGUAACUAGGCACGUCUUGACGGUACCUAAGCAGAGAGCCACGGGUAACUACGGG
Molecule: ribosomal RNA, 497 nt
Filed under: uncultured bacterium
Lineage: Bacteria
Description: partial 16S ribosomal RNA
Rfam family: Bacterial small subunit ribosomal RNA
Source: RNAcentral